CAGUCGCCACGGUAAAACGUAGGGUGCGAGCGUUAAUCGGAAUUACUGGGCGUAAAGCGUGCGCAGGCGGUUUGUUAAGACGGAUGUGAAAUCCCCGGGCUCAACCUGGGAACUGCAUUUGUGACUGGCAAGCUAGAGUAUGGCAGAGGGGGGUGGAAUUCCGCGUGUAGCAGUGAAAUGCGUAGAUAUGCGGAGGAACACCGAUGGCGAAGGCAGCCCCCUGGGCCAAUACUGACGCUCAUGCACGAAAGCGUGGGGAGCAAACAGGAUUAGAGACCCCAGUAGUCCCUGUCUCUUAUAC
This 301-nucleotide ribosomal RNA is filed under the name uncultured bacterium. Its description in RNAcentral is "partial 16S ribosomal RNA". It matches the Rfam family "Bacterial small subunit ribosomal RNA", at positions 509 to 807 of the family's 1533-position model. The record is from RNAcentral.